Molecule: long non-coding RNA, 334 nt
Organism: Brienomyrus brachyistius
Lineage: Eukaryota; Metazoa; Chordata; Actinopteri; Osteoglossiformes; Mormyridae
Exons: 3
Source: RefSeq, a predicted model, not a curated record
AUAAAGAAAGACAAUGAAUAGAAAUUGAAUAGAAAAACUGGAAAAAGACACAUCUUAUGCUGUACUUAGAUGUCUAUAGACUGUCAUACACUGUCCUUCGAGGUCUAUAGACUGUCGUAUGCUGUUUUUAGAGGUCUAUAGACUGUCAUACACUGUCCUUCGAGGUCUAUAGACUGUCGUAUGCUGUUUUUAGAGGUCUAUAGACUGUCAUACACUGUCCUUCGAGGUCUAUAGACUGUCGUAUGCUGUUUUUAGAGGUCUAUAGACUGUCAUACACUGUCCUUCGAGGUUUAUGGACUGUCGUAUGCUGUUCUUAAAGGUCUAUAGGCUAACG